Molecule: long non-coding RNA, 942 nt
Organism: Mauremys reevesii (Reeves's turtle)
Lineage: Eukaryota; Metazoa; Chordata; Testudines; Geoemydidae
Exons: 2
Source: RefSeq, a predicted model, not a curated record
UUUUUUGAAUUGUCAUGCUCUCUUUGGAUCGAAGAGAGGCCAGACAUGUCUCCAAGUUCUCCUGGAGUAUUUCCUACUAUCCAGUAUAGCACCUCUAAGCAGAAGCUUGGGUCUCCCUACCCUCAUGAACCGUUCCAAGAUGAAGCAUUUCCAUGAACAACUUAUGGUGACAUUCUGUACAGGGCCAACAGGCAGUGGCAGUACCAAAGAGAGAAAGAUUCAUGGCAAGCAGAAAGGCACAGCAAGUCCUACACAGUACACCCUGAGGACAGAACUGCAGAGCAGGAGCAGACACUUGCAUCACAAUUCCUGGAACAGAAACAUUGGUUGAGGGACGUUAGAGAGCACAGCGGAAAGACCUGUUUGAGCAGCUGCUUUCGCUAACGCCAAAAGAGUGCACGCUCAUGCUGUGCCUAUGCUGGGGCCUGAGUCCCCUCCAUGAGCCCAUGCGCUGCAUACCAGGAACACUUUAGACAAUUUCAUGAUUGAGUGGCCCAUGCAACUGUGACUUGACUUAGCAGCUGGGCAGGGCAAAUCUACUCCUAGCAGCACAUUUCAACCUCCAUGGUGCUCACCCCUCCCACCCCCACCACACCACACCACACCACACCAUACCACACCACCACCACCACUGCAUGCAGUGAGCCCUGCACAGACCCCCUGCACUCUGGACUCUGCUACAGCCCUGUAGGCUCCUGUUCAGUGGCGACAAGCCUGUGCUAACUGCACAAGAAAGGGAAAGGAGGACAUGCAACAUUGGGUUUUUCUUUGAUGGCACUGUUUGGAUUGUUCAGUGUUUGGCUUAGGCACGUUGUUUUAUUAGUGGUUGUGGUGUUGGUUUUUAUUACUGCUUCAAUGUUCUAGUGGCAGCUGGCCUUCCUGGCAAUAUUUUAAUAUGGUUAUUUUUGUAAGACAAAUAAAGGCUUUUAUUUUACUAAGAAA